ACUGUGCAGUGACACUAUCCACUGAGACUGGCCUAAGAGCCAGGAAUAUUGGGCAGUCUCGUGGGAGUUUCAUUGGAGUUUCAUUCGCAUUAAAUAGGUUGUCAUAUAGAUAUUUUGGAUGACAUGACAAUAUAUUUAAGAAGAGAUAAAAGAAAUAGGUUUCAUCUAGAUAAAACUCUAUUGGCACGAUUACCAACACUCUAUGAGUCUUAAAAUUAAAUACCUAUACAAUUAUGGAAUGAAACUCUCCACUAAAAGUGAGUGUUUCAUCCAAGUUUCAUUUUAUUUCACAUGACAUGACAAUAUUAAAAACAACGCUAUAAAACUCUCUGCUCACACUGGCGAAACCAAAUACUGCUUGAUGGCGCAUGGCGGAGUUCCAGCGCGUUUCGUUGCACUAGCAUGCAGUCGCUUUUGCAUCCUCUUGGCCCGCUAACCAAUCGAAUGAUUUUUGCAAUCCGUGGAGCAUGGACUGGCCGGAUACAACAAACCAAUCACGCUCUAGUGAACUGGAUGCUAAAAAAAAGGAAAGGAGCAAAAGGACGCAGAAAAGAAACCAUACCAAGCUUGAGGCCUCAUUCUGCUCAGAGUAAAUUUUAUUUCUAAUCUGAACUAGGUUUCCCCCUUUUUUUUAAAAAAAAAAACUUCACCGGAGGAGAGUGAGUGUCUCACCGAAUUCCGUUCCAUUGAUUCCGACAAACCGAUGUACGGAAUUGCAACCCAGCAUUGUGCACCCAACAUCCAAAUCUAAAACUUCUUCUCCUUCUUCGUUUUCCUUUGCACCAAAUCCAAAGAGGCAAAGACCCAUUCUUCAAAAAAAAAAAAGGACCCAUUACUAUUUGUUGGAGUUCUUGGACGACUUGCACUACAUGCCUCCUUUGAAUGCCACAGCUACCAAAAUGGGCUCAUAAUAACCAACAGGACUACAGGACCCACCCACCACCGACAAACUACACUCCAUCCGUAGCCCAUAGCCCAUAGGAUCACCAACAUGAACUUCAGCUGAAAUAAGCUGCCCUUCUGGCGUUCACCCCACUCAGUCACUCACCGAAUGAACUGCACCGUUCAAAACUGGCGGCCACAGAGCAGUAGCAACGUCCCUAUAAACUAUAUGUCAGGCUCCGGCAGGUCCACGAGAGAUCACAUGGCAUCUCAAUCCCAUUCUCAGGGCCAAUCCAAUCACCUUUCACGCAAGUACAGCUGCUGGCCUCGCUGCGUCCUUUAUGCUACCUCCCUGAUUGCA
Molecule: long non-coding RNA, 1243 nt
Filed under: Sorghum bicolor (sorghum)
Lineage: Eukaryota; Viridiplantae; Streptophyta; Magnoliopsida; Poales; Poaceae
Description: long non-coding RNA (SBIC_LNC006102)
Source: RNAcentral